GAUGAACGCUGGCGGCGUGCCUAAUACAUGCAAGUCGAGCGAACAGACGAGGAGCUUGCUCCUCUGACGUUAGCGGCGGACGGGUGAGUAACACGUGGAUAACCUACCUAUAAGACUGGGAUAACUUCGGGAAACCGGAGCUAAUACCGGAUAAUAUAUUGAACCGCAUGGUUCAAUAGUGAAAGACGGUUUUGCUGUCACUUAUAGAUGGAUCCGCGCCGCAUUAGCUAGUUGGUAAGGUAACGGCUUACCAAGGCAACGAUGCGUAGCCGACCUGAGAGGGUGAUCGGCCACACUGGAACUGGGACACGGUCCAGACUCCUACGGGAGGCAGCAGUAGGGAAUCUUCCGCAAUGGGCGAAAGCCUGACGGAGCAACGCCGCGUGAGUGAUGAAGGUCUUCGGAUCGUAAAACUCUGUUAUUAGGGAAGAACAAAUGUGUAAGUAACUAUGCACGUCUUGACGGUACCUACUCAGAAAGCCACGGCUAACUACGUG
RNAcentral lists this ribosomal RNA (497 nucleotides) under uncultured bacterium. Its description in RNAcentral is "partial 16S ribosomal RNA". It matches the Rfam family "Bacterial small subunit ribosomal RNA", at positions 28 to 507 of the family's 1533-position model. The record is from RNAcentral.